This 493-nucleotide long non-coding RNA is filed under the name Rattus norvegicus (Norway rat). RNAcentral's name for it is "long non-coding RNA NONRATT019709". The record is from RNAcentral. Lineage: Eukaryota; Metazoa; Chordata; Mammalia; Rodentia; Muridae.
GUACAUAUGGGGUCUCGAGCCCCUUUAAGCUCUUCCAGUUCUUUCUCUGAUUCCUUCAACAGGGGUCCUAUUCUCAAUUCAGUGGUUUGCUGCUGGCAUACGCCUCUGUGUUUGCUGUAUUCUGGCUGUGUCUCUCGGGAGAGAUCUACAUCCGGCUCCUGUCGGCCUGCACUUCUUUGCUUCAUCCAUCUUGUCUAAUUGGAUGGCUGUAUAUGCAUGGGCCAAAUGUGGGGCAGGCUCUGAAUGGGUGUUCCUUCUGUGUCUGUUUUAAUCUUUGCCUCUCUCUUCCCUGCCAAGGGUAUUCUUGUUCCCCUUUUAAAGAAGGAGUGAAGCAUUCACAUUUUGAUCAUCCGUCUUGAGUUUCAUUUGUUCUAGGCAUCUAGGGUAAUUCAAGCAUUUGGGCUAAUAGCCAUUUAUCAAUGAGUGCAUACCAUGUGUGUUUUUCUGUGAUUGGGUUACCUCACUCAGGAUGAUAUUUUCCAGUUCCGACCAU